AGUUUGAUCAUGGCUCAGGAUUAACGCUGGCGGUAUGCCUAACACAUGCAAGUCGAACGGAAUACUAAUUAAGAGAAAUCUCACACUAGUGAGAGGUUCUCACGAGUAGUAUUUAGUGGCGGACGGGUGAGUAACACGUUGGAACCAGCCCCGAAGUGGGGAAUAACUGCUCGAAAGAGUAGCUAAUACCCCAUAGUAUCCGGUUUAUCCGGAUUAAAGAUUUAUCGCUUCGGGAGGGGCCUGCGUCUGAUUAGCUAGUUGGUGAGGUAAAAGCUCACCAAGGCGACGAUCAGUAGCUGGUUCGAGAGGAUGACCAGCCACACUGGGACUGAGAUACGGCCCAGACUCCUACGGGAGGCAGCAGUGAGGAAUCUUCCACAAUGGGCGCAAGCCUGAUGGAGCAAUACCGCGUGCAGGAAGACGCUUUCGGAGUGUAAACUGCUUUUGUCGUCGAAGAUUAUGACUGUAGACGAAGAAUAAGGACCGGCUAACUACGUG
Molecule: ribosomal RNA, 498 nt
Filed under: uncultured bacterium
Lineage: Bacteria
Description: bacterial SSU rRNA
Rfam family: Bacterial small subunit ribosomal RNA
Source: RNAcentral